Molecule: small RNA, 31 nt
Filed under: Arabidopsis thaliana (thale cress)
Lineage: Eukaryota; Viridiplantae; Streptophyta; Magnoliopsida; Brassicales; Brassicaceae
Description: ATSL129880
Source: RNAcentral
CCACUAUCUUUUUUUUCCUUCUUCUAUAUAU